AAAAUAGACUACAGUGUUGCACAUCUCACUGAUUAAACAACGUGAUGCCCUGUAACCUGAGAGCAGUCGUAUCAGACAGAGAACACGUUUUCUUCAAGACGGCUGGAAUAUGGUAGAUAUUCUAACUGGAGCCGUGGCGCUGCUAUCUGUGGCCCUGUCGAUCUCUUUAUGCCUCAAUGUGAUCUUUUGCAUCAAGCGAAGAACUAUUUUGUGCAGAGAAAAAAAUGGAUCCUGCUGCCCCCACACUUCUGAAGAAGAAACCCUGUCACACAAUGAAGGGCAUUAUUUUCAUGACCUUAAUCAUCAAGAGCAGAGGGAAAAUCCCCACAAUCAUCAUGAGCAACAGGAAAAUCCAAUCUAUGGCAACAUCAGCACAGAGAGAAGAAGUUCUGCAGAGGGUUGCUAUGAGAUGAUGACCAUGCAACGCACAAGAGAAAGUAAGAAGCCUUUCCAGAAUGACCUGAAUUACGCCUCACUGGACCUGAAGACUGCAAAGAAACGAAAGAAGAAGCAUCGCCAUCAGCAUAGCCAGUCACAGGGACGAAAUCAUUUCCCCGAACAGCUGUCAGUCCACCACACACCUCCUCCGAAUACAUUCUUGGAGGUGGAUGCAGACAUGGAUGCUCAUCUUCCGUCCAGAGACACCAGCACCAUGGUUUCACACAGCAGCAUCUACCUCAACAGUCAACAAAUAGCUCAACAGACAGAGGAAAUGGAAAGAGAAAAGAAUCUGACGCUGGAGAGGAAUGUUGGUUGGAAUAGUAUGCGAAGGCGCGAGGAUGGAGGAAAUCAAGAGAGUGAAGAAAUGAAAGAUGAACAAGAGUGUAACAAUGGGAGUUUAUGUGAACAGCUUUCAGAAGUAGAAACCUUUCAGAGCUGCACAGAUCCUUUCAUUGGUAGCUUUAGCCAGGAUGGUCACCAGCACGGUUAAACAAACAUAUCAAGUUUUACUGUUUCAAACUGUUUUGAACUGAAAUCUAUAUCACCUGAAAAAGACUUUUUGGUUUUUAUUUUAUUUUAUGUGCAAAAAACAAACUACUGUCUAUUACUACAGCUGUAAAAUGAAACUACGUCACCUAAAAUAUUCAAACUGCUUGCAGGGUUGAGCAAUUUCCUCUCCGAGAUAGACAAGAUGAGGUCUCCUCAUUGAGCAACAGAGGAAGAAAAGUGUACCUUUCAUGCAGAGGGUGUAAUAAAUGUAAAUAAAGCUAAAAGGAAACUCUUUGCGUGACAUUUAGAUGUCAAGGCCCGUGUGGAAAUUUUUCAGUUUAUUGCAAAAGAUGAGGAAAACACCAAAUCAUCACAGGCCAUGGAAGAACUCUCACUGUUUUGAUGUCUCAUCAUCAUAUAUUACCAGAUGUCUCAUAGAAAGGUGUGAAGAAAUUAUUUCUUACAUUUGUUUUCCACGAUGUGGGCGCUGGCUAUGUGCUGAGAGGGAAUGUUUCACUGAAAAACUCGACAUGCUCAGCAUAUGUGAAACCGCCUCUCGGUAAUGCUAAGGGUGAAGAUAACAUUAACGUGACGAUAACGUUUAAAAAACAGAGAAGUAAAAACAAAAAAGGGGGGGGGGGGAAGCUUUAAGUGGGACAUAAGUGAUGACAUUUUGUUUUCCCUGUGGGCACCUUACUUUGUUGUAAAUGUCAUGUAGGAUUUCACACGUCAUGGUUAUGACAAUGGUUGUUACUUUAGUAAUCUAUUGCACAUAUGAGCUAAUUUGCCAUCUGCUUAAAUGAUUAUUUCCCUCACUGUAAUCCCUUGGCAGGAUAAUUUACUGCCCGGCUAUCUGCCGAGGGAAUUGAGCUAUGGAGUGAACUCAGCAGUCAGAAGCCUGCAGCCCACUCUUUGUUGACAGUUUUUCAAUAGCUGACCAUGGCCUACUUCCCCUCUAUGGAUUAAAUUUUGCCCUUGGGCAUUUUGGAUGCAACUCUUGCAGACAUAUGGGAAUGUCACAAAAGAAACUUUUCACGGAUAACAGGCACCGUUAGUAACUGUCAUGUAUGAGGACAUAAAGGCAGUCAUUUAUACAGGAUGUUUUCAAAAUUAUAAAGUCACGCUUCUAUAAAGAAUCAGUUGUAAUUAGGAGCAGUUUAUCAUUUAAAUAUGGGUAUUAAUCUUAUACUGUAGCCUAUUAAGUUGAUUUGCAGUGGGCAUUUCCUAAGUUACUCUUUAAAUAAGUAUGAAUUGACAACUUAGCUUUUAGAUCUAUCUUAAUCGUGUAAUUGAAAAAAGAGAUAACGCUUUUAAUGUGUUCUGUAAUCUAAUAUGACAUGAUGAGAAGCAAAAGGCAACACACUUAUCUUUACAUAGACAAAGGAAAAUGUACUGUUUUAUACUAUGCUCUUAGAGUAAACAUACAACCAAGUACCAAAGUUUAUGACUGGGUUACAGUAAAGUAUUAAAGGGACAUUGACAAUGCAGGAAAUCAUUCAACUACGUAACGUCUUCAUAAUAAUGAUUUGAGUAAUUAAAUGAUUAUGCAGUCCACAAGAAUGGCUCAGCCAAGCUGACGCCCAUUUUGGGGACCCUGCAGAGAAUCGUGCUUCACUGCUGACUUAACUUUGAUCAAGCGGUAAGAAAAUGAGGUACAUUUUCAAAGGUAUUUAUCUGCCUUUCAGCAAGGCUCAGCAAAAAUCUGCAAAUUGCAUGAUGUGGCUGUGAGGAGACAGAAAAUACAAAAGAAGAUUAAUUUUUUAGUUAAAAAAAUAAAAUGAAAAAAAAAGUAAAGUAAAAAAAAAAAAAUUAGUAGUAAUUAAGAUAUGACAUUGGCUUUCAAACUCACAGUACAAAUUUGUGGUUGCAUAAUCACAACCCCUUAACGCCUAGUGUAUCGUAUUUGAUACAUACAGUUUUUUUGUGACUUUUUAAACUGAAAUGCCAGAUGUAGCAAAUACAAUACAAAUUAAACACCAUAUAUGGAAAUUAAAACGUAUAAUAAUUUAUAAACAAAUUUGUCAGAUGGCUCAAUAAACUCUCUGUUUUCAAGAAUUUAAAUUUUCUGCCGAUUGUUUCACAGCUCAGGCUUUAAAGGGUUAAUUUCAGCCAUGAAAAAGCAAUGCAACAAUUCUCUUUCAGCUUGUAGUCGGGCAUGUGGUUUCUUUGUAAGAUUGCUAUCAUUGUACAGUUUGCUUAUGAUGCCACAUGUGACCUGCAGUAAUUGGAACAGGUGUUAUUUUUAAGUUGCUUAUUUGUUUCAUGUAUGUGUGCGAAGAGAGCGAGAGGAGGGGGGAUGAGAUGAAACAAAGAUUACAUGACAGAUAUGAAAUAUAAAGUGGGUUACACUGCAGCUUGUGAAUUGUGCAUUAAAUUUCUAUAGUGCGUUUCGAACAACUGUUAAAGUAAGUGUGACAUUCAAUAGAAUAGUUCAGUAGAGACAAACAGCUCACGAUCCAAAGCACACCACUGAAGGUGACUGCGGGAAAGGUUAAUGCUGGACAUCUUAAUACAGAAAAGGCAGCAUUUGGUGAUGUCCAUGGGUUCUGGACGUCAGGUAAAUGUUGACAUCCAUCCAAGUAUUAAAAACUAGUCAUAAUUUUUUAAAUUAUGUUAGCUUGUUCAAUUACAAAAUACUUUUGAGCCUCUGAAAAUGGGGGAUUAUGUAUAAAAAUGCAUGCAAUUUUAAAACAACUAACACAAUACUUUUGUUAAAGCACUUACAUUAAAGCUAAAAGUUCGCA
This is a long non-coding RNA of Astatotilapia calliptera (eastern happy), 3674 nucleotides long. NCBI's taxonomy places the organism in Eukaryota, Metazoa, Chordata, Actinopteri, Cichliformes, Cichlidae. The record is from Ensembl.